This 213-nucleotide unclassified non-coding RNA is filed under the name Hevea brasiliensis (rubber tree). The record is from RNAcentral. Lineage: Eukaryota; Viridiplantae; Streptophyta; Magnoliopsida; Malpighiales; Euphorbiaceae.
UUUCCGUAAUAUUUCUUCAUAUUUUUCCUAUAAUAACUAGAGAAAAUGAGAAAGCAUUAAAAGAUAGGGAACAAAAUAAUUUUUUAAGGAAAAUGCAUAAAAACACACAAGCUUUUAAGCUUAAAAGACAUCUCUAUUAUCUUCCAAGGAAAGAACUGUGUUGCUAUAGCAAAAUAGGCUAUCUGAUUUCCAUGUGCAUAUAAUACUCUAGCG